CCUACGGGGGGCAGCAGUGGGGAAUAUUGCACAAUGGGCGAAAGCCUGAUGCAGCAACGCCGCGUGAGUGAUGAAGGUCUUCGGAUUGUAAAGCUCUGUCUUUGGGGACGAUAAUGACGGUACCCAAGGAGGAAGCCACGGCUAACUACGUGCCAGCAGCCGCGGUAAUACGUAGGUGGCGAGCGUUGUCCGGAAUUACUGGGCGUAAAGGAUGCGUAGGCGGAUACUUAAGUCAGAUGUGAAACUCCCGGGCUAAACGUGGGAACUGCAUUUGAAACUGGGUAUCUAGAGUGCGGGAGAGGAAAGUGGAAUUCCUAGUGUAGCGGUGAAAUGCGUAGAGAUUAGGAAGAACACCAGUGGCGAAGGCGACUUUCUGGACCGUAACUGACGCUGAGGCAUGAAAGCGUGGGUAGCAAACAGGAUUAGAUACCCUAGUAGUCC
This 441-nucleotide ribosomal RNA is filed under the name uncultured Clostridium sp. Its description in RNAcentral is "bacterial SSU rRNA". It matches the Rfam family "Bacterial small subunit ribosomal RNA", at positions 338 to 796 of the family's 1533-position model. The record is from RNAcentral. Lineage: Bacteria; Bacillati; Bacillota; Clostridia; Eubacteriales; Clostridiaceae.